This 300-nucleotide ribosomal RNA is filed under the name Pelobates cultripes (western spadefoot toad). It matches the Rfam family "Eukaryotic small subunit ribosomal RNA", at positions 190 to 471 of the family's 1831-position model. The record is from RNAcentral. Lineage: Eukaryota; Metazoa; Chordata; Amphibia; Anura; Pelobatidae.
GCAGGGUGGCCGCCCAGUAAUCAGCAGAAGUUAGAAUGUGGGCAUCUCGGCAGUCGUUGCGCAGGUACUUUGGUGACUCUAGAUAACUUCGGGACGAUCGCACGUCCCUGUGACGGCGACAACGCAUUCGGAUGUCUGCCCUGUGGACUUUCGAUGGUACUUUCUGCGCCUAGCAUGGUGACCACGGGCAAUGGGGAAUCAGGGUUUGAUUCGGGAGAAGGAGCCUGAGAAACGGCUACCACAUCCAAGGAAGGCAGCAGGCGCGCAAAUUACCCACUCCCGAUGCGGGGAGGUAGUGAC